ACGGUUUUACAUACAUAUUUUGCCAACUUUAAUUUUCUAAAAUUUUGUCUAUCUAGAGAAAAAUACACGGAACAAUUACAGAAUUAGGCAUUUUUUUUCAGAUUCUUAUGGUUUCAGGACUUAUCACCCGUGCUUACAGAAUUAGGCAUUUUAAUUUACAUAAUAUGACAAAAUUGCCCUUGAAAACUAUUCUCUCUAUUUCACGAUUCUCUCUCGUCUUAGAUCUCUCCGAACUUGCCGUCGCCGACCACCUUUAAAUGGUAAGAUCUCUUAGUCGAUCCACGUCUUGCUGACCGCCGGCAAUUUCGAUAGAAGGUAAAUAAUUGGUGUUAAACGUGAUGGAGAUAGUGCUGAUGGGAAGGAGAGAAGCCAUGGUUUUAAUCAGGAGAGGAAGCGCAUGAUUUGAUCGGAAGAAGAAAAAUAAUUAUUGUUGUUCGGUGAAGAAGACGAAGAAGAGAUGGUGAAGAAGAGAUAGGGGCAAAACUGAUUUUUUACUACUCCAAAAAUACCUAAAUACGAGAGUAUGAACUAUAUAUAGUCCCUAAAUUCAAAGAUUUGGCCCAAUAAAGCCUCAAAUC
Molecule: long non-coding RNA, 578 nt
Organism: Camelina sativa (false flax)
Lineage: Eukaryota; Viridiplantae; Streptophyta; Magnoliopsida; Brassicales; Brassicaceae
Source: RefSeq, a predicted model, not a curated record